AAGAAAAACGUUCCGGACAGCGCCGUAAGGUGCCAAAGGGGCUUUCUCUUCCACCCACCCCACUGUGAACCUUUAGCGUGAGGUCAGUAAGGGCGAGCCCUCAAUCCCGGGGGAGCGCUCCGAAAGCUUGCGAUAUCUACAUACCCGUAUGCAAGUCUCAGAAUGUACAUGUUGCGCUCCGUCGCAAAUAAAAUA
RNAcentral lists this unclassified non-coding RNA (195 nucleotides) under uncultured Scytinostroma. RNAcentral's name for it is "sequence contains ITS1". The record is from RNAcentral. Lineage: Eukaryota; Fungi; Basidiomycota; Agaricomycetes; Russulales; Lachnocladiaceae.